Molecule: long non-coding RNA, 101 nt
Organism: Ipomoea nil (Japanese morning glory)
Lineage: Eukaryota; Viridiplantae; Streptophyta; Magnoliopsida; Solanales; Convolvulaceae
Exons: 3
Source: RefSeq, a predicted model, not a curated record
CACAUCAUGCAUUUGAUAUAAUCCAUCAUUUCCCUCUCCACAAAUUAGAACAAGAUUUCUAUCUACAAGAUCUUGUAAAUUUCAUUCAUUGCUACAUCUUU